This 207-nucleotide ribosomal RNA is filed under the name uncultured delta proteobacterium. RNAcentral describes it as "partial 16S ribosomal RNA". It matches the Rfam family "Bacterial small subunit ribosomal RNA", at positions 568 to 774 of the family's 1533-position model. Lineage: Bacteria; Deltaproteobacteria. The record is from RNAcentral.
CGCGUAGGCGGUUUUGUCGGUCAGAUGUGAAAGCCCGGGGCUCAACCCUGGACGUGCAUUUAAAACAGCAAGACUUGAGUACGGGAGAGGAAAGCGGAAUUCCUGGUGUAGAGGUGAAAUUCGUAGAUAUCAGGAGGAACACCGAUGGCGAAGGCAGCUUUCUGGACCGAUACUGACGCUGAGGCGCGAAGGCGUGGGUAGCGAACA